AACGAACGCUGGCUGCGUGCCUAACACAUGCAAGUCGAACGGAAUGAGGGGGCUUGCUCCUUCAUUUAGUGGCGCACGGGUGAGUAACGCGUAGAUAAUCUGCCUGAUGAUCUGGGAUAACAUCUCGAAAGGGGUGCUAAUACCGGAUAAGCCCACGGGGUCUUUGGAUUCUGCGGGAAAAGGGGGGGACCUUCGGGCCUUCUGUCAUCAGAUGAGUCUGCGUACCAUUAGCUAGUUGGUAGGGUAAUGGCCUACCAAGGCGACGAUGGUUAGCUGGUCUGAGAGGAUGAUCAGCCACACUGGAACUGAGACACGGUCCAGACUCCUACGGGAGGCAGCAGUGGGGAAUUUUGCGCAAUGGGCGAAAGCCUGACGCAGCAACGCCGCGUGAGUGAUGAAGGCUUUCGGGUCGUAAAGCUCUGUCAAGGGGAAAGAAGUGUAUUGUGGUUAAUACCCGCGAUACUUGACGGUACCCCUAAAGGAAGCACCGGCUAACUCCGUGCCAGCAGCCGCGGUAAUACGGAGGGUGCAAGCGUUGUUCGGAUUUAUUGGGCGUAAAGCGCGUGUAGGCGGUUUAUUAAGUCUGAUGUGAAAGCCCUGGGCUCAACCCAGGAAGUGCAUUGGAUACUGGUAGACUUGAAUACGGGAGAGGGCAGUGGAAUUCCUGGUGUAGGAGUGAAAUCCGUAGAUAUCAGGAGGAACACCGGUGGCGAAGGCGGCUGCCUGGACCGAUAUUGACGCUGAGACGCGAAAGCGUGGGUAGCAAACAGGAUUAGAUACCCUGGUAGUCCACGCCGUAAACGAUGAGUACUAGGUGUUGCGGGUAUUGACCCCUGCAGUGCCGCAGCUAACGCAUUAAGUACUCCGCCUGGGAAGUACGGUCGCAAGACUAA
Molecule: ribosomal RNA, 893 nt
Filed under: uncultured Geobacter sp.
Lineage: Bacteria; Pseudomonadati; Thermodesulfobacteriota; Desulfuromonadia; Geobacterales; Geobacteraceae
Description: bacterial SSU rRNA
Rfam family: Bacterial small subunit ribosomal RNA
Source: RNAcentral